AUGGCGGGCGAGAAGGGGCUGGUGCUGCUGGACUUCUGGGUGAGCCCGUUCGGGCAGCGCGUGCGCAUCGCGCUGGCCGAGAAGGGCCUGCCCUACGAGUACGCGGAGGAGGACCUGAUGGCCGGCAAGAGCGACCGCCUCCUCCGCGCCAACCCGGUGCAUAAGAAGAUCCCGGUGCUCCUCCACGACGGCCGUGCCGUCAACGAGUCCCUCAUCAUCCUCCAGUACCUGGAGGAGGCCUUCCCGGACGCGCCCGCUCUGCUCCCCUCCGACCCCUACGCGCGCGCGCAGGCCCGCUUCUGGGCCGACUACGUCGACAAGAAGGUCUACGACUGCGGCUCCCGCCUCUGGAAGCUCAAGGGCGAGCCGCAGGCGCAGGCGCGCGCCGAGAUGCUGGACAUCCUCAAGACCCUCGACGGCGCGCUCGGGGACAAGCCCUUCUUCGGCGGUGAGAAAUUCGGGUUCGUCGACGCCGCCUUCGCGCCCUUCACCGCCUGGUUCCACAGCUACGAGAGGUACGGCGAGUUCAGCCUGCCGGAGGUGGCGCCCAAGAUCGCCGCGUGGGCCAAGCGCUGCGGCGAGCGGGAGAGCGUCGCCAAGAGCCUCUACUCGCCGGACAAGGUCUACGACUUCAUCGGCCUGCUCAAGAAGAAGUACGGCAUCGAGUAG
RNAcentral lists this ribosomal RNA (669 nucleotides) under Triticum aestivum (bread wheat). RNAcentral's name for it is "partial small subunit ribosomal RNA". The record is from RNAcentral. Lineage: Eukaryota; Viridiplantae; Streptophyta; Magnoliopsida; Poales; Poaceae.